Long non-coding RNA from Otolemur garnettii (small-eared galago), 2185 nucleotides. RefSeq lists it as uncharacterized. The transcript has 2 exons. NCBI's taxonomy places the organism in Eukaryota, Metazoa, Chordata, Mammalia, Primates, Galagidae. The record is from RefSeq and is a predicted model, not a curated record.
ACUUUAAGGACAGCCUGUAUACAUAUGGAGAGAGAGAUUUAUUUUAAGGAGUUGGCUCACAAGAUUAUGGGGGCUGGUAAGUCCAAAUUUUGCAGUACAGGCCAGCAGGCUGGAGACCCAAGGAAAAGUUGGUAUUGAGGUCCCAAGAUCAAAUGCAGUCAGUGUAGAGGCAAAAUUCCUUUUAUUUUCUUUUAGUUUGGAGGACUUUAGUUUGUUUCUCUCAAGGUCUUCAACUUAGUGGAUGAGGCCAAACCACCUUACAGAGGGUGAUUUGCUGUACUCAAAGUACACUGAUUUAUAAUUCCAUCUAAAAAAUAUCUUCCCAUCUUCCCAGCAACAUCUAGUCCAGUGUCUGACCAGACAUCUGAGCACCAUAGACUAGCCAAGCUGACACAUGAAUUAACCUUUACUUUCUCUUACUCCAGGGGACCAUCCUGGAAAGUCCUGGGAUACAGCCACUGCAGUGUGGAGAUUUUUCUAAGCUGCCUAAGCAGGGCCUUAAUGGUUCAUCAGUCUGUAGGGCAACUCUAAACUCUAAGGUGUGCCUGUAUGAAUUGGAUGGAACAGUACUUCAAGAAGGUGCCAAGUGAGGGGAUGCCGUUGCCUGAGGAUUCCACCAAGAAAGGAGAACUCUUCAUCUUCUUUGACAUCCAGUUUCCCAACCACCUCACACCCCCAAGCAGCAGCUGCUGCACCAAGCAUUGGUGACGUAACUGGUGGGCUAAGGGUUACAGCGGAGGUGGGGGGAGGCUGGCCAGGCCUUCCCUGGCCCCUCCAGCCUCAGGGUGUGCAGGGGAGCCAGCCUGCUGCACUGAUGUGACAUGAGCCUGAGCUGGCAUGGGGCUUAAACUGACACAAUAAAGACCAAUUUCCCUUCAAAAAAAUUAAAUCAAUUAAAAUGCCUUGUUGCAAGUUCUGGAUUUGUAGCUAGCAAAUAGAAUAGGAGAAUUUGGAAUUGGUAAUCCCUGGAAAAUAACAAGAAAAAACAUUCAAGCAUUUUAGGACAUUAAAAGUGCAAAAUUACCUCACACUCUGGAAAUGAUAGUGGUAUUACUAUGAGUACUUUUUCUGUGGAUUUUCCAAAUGAGCUAGUAUCCCAAUUAAAACACAUUUAGAUACUGUAAAAGUCUUUUUUUCUCCCCUUUCUCCUAAAGGACUUGUAUAUACUUACCUAUAUCUACAAUCACCACCAACAAAUAAUUUCUCUGACCUAAUGGCUUCCCCCAAAAGUCUCAAUGUUGCCCUGAGUGACACCUUUUAUCCGUCACCUUCGCAGAAUAGCUGGAUACUGAAUAACUUUUGACUAUUUACGAGUUUGCAGUAAGAACUAUCUGAGGGCAAAAAAAUACAACCCAGGCAAGCAGAAUAAGGGGACAGAAGGUACAAUGAGUGUUGAGGCUUUAGCCGGCUUUGGGGUGGUAAGUGUGGGAACACAGACGUCCGUGUGCGGCUCGGUGUCUGGUUUUAAUUCUGCGGCAGCUUGCCUUUAGUUAAAAAUAGAUGCAAUGGUCGCCGGUAAAUCUCCCUGAGAGAUUAUGGUGACAAAAUUCACCUAGAAAGAGGCAAUACCAAGCCGUCUCAACACAAUGUAGUUUCACUUUAUCAGACUAUUCAAACACUUGUAUCUAGUCCUUAAGAACUUGGUAGUAACCAAACAACAUUGAAAAUUGACACCUUUUUACAUUUUCACCCAGGGUUAGCAGCUCUUGCCUUACCACAUCUUUAAGUUAUUUGCGAAAGUGACAGACAUUCUUGGAUUGCUCUAAUUACUCAGUCAAGGUCAGAUCAACCCAUAAAGGAAGUGGCAAUUUUCAAAUCACCAAAGGACAAAAUAUUAGCUGGAAAAGGAGCAGAACUUGGAUGAGGUCCCAGCUCUCCGUCCUCAGCUACUUGAUAUUUUUCUCUCCAUAACAUCCGCUUAUCUCCCGUACUCCCAUAUUGUUCUGUAACUAAGCGUUUGAUAAGCCUGGGUUGGCAAGGUCUCUGGAACUCUGGGCCCUAGUGCUGCUAUCAUAGUAUAUACCUAAUAUAGCUAUAUACAUAGUAUAGCAGCGCUAGGCUAUAACAUACCCUUAUAAGUGGCCUUCCUUUCUCCGAUAAGUCUACCUUGUCAUAUCGUGUUCUGUGGAUUUUCCUCCUUGGUAGAAGUUUCCAGUAGGCCUUAAUAAACCACAAAAUCAAGAGA